GCCUACAAAUAAAACAAACAAACACACCUGAUCAUGUUUGAUUUUGGAAGAUAACGAGGCUGAGUCCUGGUUAGUACUUGGAUGAAAGAUUACUAGGGAAUACUAGGAAUGUCCAGGCA
RNAcentral lists this ribosomal RNA (119 nucleotides) under Pogona vitticeps (central bearded dragon). Lineage: Eukaryota; Metazoa; Chordata; Lepidosauria; Squamata; Agamidae. The record is from RNAcentral.